Long non-coding RNA from Oncorhynchus gorbuscha (pink salmon), 1483 nucleotides. RefSeq lists it as uncharacterized. NCBI's taxonomy places the organism in Eukaryota, Metazoa, Chordata, Actinopteri, Salmoniformes, Salmonidae. The record is from RefSeq and is a predicted model, not a curated record. The transcript is spliced from 2 exons.
UACAAUGUAUCCACACUGUAGUGUAGUUUGCACUUUAUUGCCUGUGUGCUCCUUUUUUGUGUUGGGAAUCAGGCGAUAUAAUGUAGCAACUGAGUUGCUGGUAGCUAGAAAAUCCACAAUGCUGUGUUGCCUCCCUAUUUCCUACCGCUGCUGUUGUUAGUCUGGAACCCCCUAGUUCCGAGCCAGGGCCCCAGUCUACCCUGCCCCUCCCUCUCCUCCCCAGCGUUGCUUGUUUGGUAUGCUGAGCGUUGUGUCUGUUGUCUGCAGCUUGUAGUUACAUUCCAAUGGCCUUGUUUAUUAUAGACCAGACAUACAUUCGAGAAGGGUUCUUGAUUCCGUAUCCUGUGUCUGCACGCUUGUGUGUGAGGUCUUAACACAUGCUCCGGUGUGUGUGUGUGUGUGUGUGUGUGUGUGUGUGUGUGUGUGUGUGUGUGUGUGUGUGUGUGUGUGUGUGUGUGUGUGUGUGUGUGUGUGUGUGUGUGUGUGUGUGUGUGUGUGUGUGUGUGUGUGUGUGUGUGGUAGAAACGGGAGCGAGGCUGAGGUCACAAGCUCAGUGGAAACAUUCUCGGAGACUCGAACCAAGCGCUCUGCUUGGUCCUCCAUUUUGAGCACCUAGCAAUAGGUGGGAAGGAACACAGUGAGUUGAUUUCACAAACGACCACUACUACAGUUCUAGACAAAACUGUCAACGUCCCGACCCUUAGAGAUCGGUGUCAGAAAUGGACGACUUGUUCGCCCCGCGGAGGAGAUAUAAGAACAGAAGCAAGGCUUGUGCGGACUCCAUUUUGCAGUACUCUACUCUCUCUCUCUCUCUCUUUCUCUCUAUGCUCGUAUUUACAAUCGAGCCGACAUGGCAGCCCUGAGAAGCUUUGUGCACUCUCUCGAUGGCUGAAAAAUACAAUCAUGUCAAAGAAAGAGCGCUGUAGGUACUAAAGGAGACGGAGUGUGGGUUGAUUAGAAAAGUUGACCAUUUUUUGUAAUAUUAUGACAGCGUUUACAGUCGUGCGACGAUUGGACGGGAUUGAUGGAAAGGGGCGGGGUUUGUCUUGAUUACUGUUGUGCAGUGUAAAGUUACACCAUGCUGGAUCAGACUGGUCUUGUUUUGGUUCAGAAAGCAUACAGGAAUAAGAAGUGACCUGCUUGGUCUUUAUUUUUGUCACUUUCUAUUUUAGACCACGUGAAAUAUGUUGAUCGUAAUUCCUAUUGUUACAGGACUUUUUGUUUUUAUUUAACCCUUAUUUAACUACGCAUAGAAGUUCUUACAAUAUAUAAUAUACACAGAUUUGAAACAAUGUUUCAAGGCUGUUGGAGAGCUACAUUUAAUAUUUAUGCAUAUUCAGGGUUAGGUAUAAUAUGAUAACAUUUAAAAUAUCAAAUUACUUUCCUAGAAUAUUACUCAUGACAUGCAUCAGGAAAUGUACCCCAAUCCCUUACAUAUUUUUAAUAAAUGGAUUGAUAAAUAAAUUGGUUCAUUUAAAGUGUA